Small nuclear RNA from Lycium ferocissimum, 107 nucleotides. NCBI's taxonomy places the organism in Eukaryota, Viridiplantae, Streptophyta, Magnoliopsida, Solanales, Solanaceae. The record is from RefSeq and is a predicted model, not a curated record.
UUAACCUAAGCUAACAAUGUUGGGCUUGGAAGAUUUAGCUCAAAGAAGAUUAGCAUGACCGCUGCGCAAAGAUGGCACGCACAAAUUGAGAAAUGGUCCAAACUUUU